This 305-nucleotide ribosomal RNA is filed under the name uncultured bacterium. RNAcentral describes it as "partial 16S ribosomal RNA". It matches the Rfam family "Bacterial small subunit ribosomal RNA", at positions 335 to 658 of the family's 1533-position model. The record is from RNAcentral.
GCCCUACGGGGGGCAGCAGUGGGGGAUAUUGCACAAUGGGGGGAACCCUGAUGCAGCGACGCCGUGUGGGUGAAGGAGCGUUUCGGCGCGUAAAGCCCUAUCGGCAGGGAAGAAGAUGACGGUACCUGACCAAGAAGCCCCGGCUAACUACGUGCCAGCAGCCGCGGUAAUACGUAGGGGGCAAGCGUUAUCCGGGUUUACUGGGUGUAAAGGGGGCGCAGACGGCAAUGCAAGCCAGGAGUGAAAGCCCGGGGCUCAACCCCGGGACUGCAUUUGGAACUGUAUAGCUAGAGUGUCGGAGAGGG